UGACCUCAAAUCAGGUAGGACUACCCGCUGAACUUAAGCAUAUCAAUAAGCGGAGGAAAAGAAACUAACAAGGAUUCCCCUAGUAACUGCGAGUGAAGCGGGAAAAGCUCAAAUUUAAAAUCUGGC
Molecule: ribosomal RNA, 126 nt
Filed under: Polyporus arcularius
Lineage: Eukaryota; Fungi; Basidiomycota; Agaricomycetes; Polyporales; Polyporaceae
Description: partial 28S ribosomal RNA
Rfam family: Eukaryotic large subunit ribosomal RNA
Source: RNAcentral